This is a long non-coding RNA of Portunus trituberculatus (swimming crab), 430 nucleotides long. RefSeq lists it as uncharacterized. The record is from RefSeq and is a predicted model, not a curated record. Lineage: Eukaryota; Metazoa; Arthropoda; Malacostraca; Decapoda; Portunidae. The transcript is spliced from 3 exons.
UCUCUCUCUCUCUCUCUCUGACCAAUAGCGUGGCUUCAUAUAUAUGACGUCAAAUCAGCUGGGUGGAGGAGCUGUGAAGUGGGAGCCGGGAAUUGAGGCGAGCACGCGGGACGGUUUCUUGGGGACAGUGCCGGUGGGGGAGCUACGAAGAGGGAGUCGGAAAUCGAGGCGAGCGCGCGGGACGGUUUCUUUGUGAGAGUGGUGUGUAAAAUACUUUGCUGGUUACAUGAGCUUUGGCGUACCGUGUUUGACGUCGCUUACCUUGGAAAACCUACUUUCCCGAUCUUCUCAAAAGGGGAAGCGAAAUUUUCGGUCUGACACUCCAGCUGAGAGGGGACGCUGCAAAGACAACUACCAGUGUCACCCAAGUUCUGCCUCGACAACAGUGGACAGUCUCCAUCCAAACUGAUUUUUGGUUUACAUAUUCUUA